GAAAGAGAGCCAGAACACAG
RNAcentral lists this microRNA (20 nucleotides) under Gallus gallus (chicken). RNAcentral's name for it is "gga-miR-1582". The record is from miRBase by way of RNAcentral. Lineage: Eukaryota; Metazoa; Chordata; Aves; Galliformes; Phasianidae.